GACGAACGCUGGCGGCGUGCUUAACACAUGCAAGUCGAACGGAAAGGCCCUGCUUUUGUGGGGUUCUCGAGUGGCGAACGGGUGAGUAACACGUGAGUAACCUGCCCUUGACUUUGGGAUAACUUUAGGAAACUGGGGCUCAAACCGGAUAGGAUCUCCUGCUGCAUGGUGGGGGUUGGAAAGUUUCGGCGGUUCGGGAUGGUCUCGCGGCUUAUCAGCUUGUUGGUGGGGUAGUGGCUUACCCAGGCUUUGACGGGUAGCCGGCCUGAGAGGGUGACCGGCCACCUUGGGACUGAGAUACGGCCCAGACUCCUACGGGAGGCAGCAGUGGGGAGUAUUGCACAAUGGGCGGAGGCCUGAUGCAGAAACGCCGCGUGCGGGAUGACGGCCUUCGGGUUAUAAACCGCUUUCGCCUGUAACGAGGCGUGAGUGACGGUAAUGAAUAAAAAAGCACCGGCUAACUACGUG
RNAcentral lists this ribosomal RNA (468 nucleotides) under uncultured bacterium. Its description in RNAcentral is "partial 16S ribosomal RNA". It matches the Rfam family "Bacterial small subunit ribosomal RNA", at positions 28 to 507 of the family's 1533-position model. The record is from RNAcentral.